Molecule: RNA transcript, 2731 nt
Organism: Zea mays
Lineage: Eukaryota; Viridiplantae; Streptophyta; Magnoliopsida; Poales; Poaceae
Exons: 13
Source: RefSeq, marked validated
UAAAUAGUCAAAAAAAUAUAUAUAAAGAAUCAUAUAGAGAUAAGCUCUUCACAAAUAACGAUCUCUCGGUGUUUUUUUUUGGGAAAUUUGGAUUCAUACCAUUAAAAGAUCACUACUUUGGAUCCAUACCAUUACUAUCUCACUUAUAUGUGGGUCCACAUGAGUCAAUGAUAUGUGGGUCCAUGAUAUAUAUCUAAAGUUUAGAUCUUUUAAUGGUAUAGAUCCAAUUGUCCUUUUUUUUUGGCUUAGCACCAUAAAAAUCCCUCAAAAGCAUGCCCCGCCGCCCCGUCCAACCAGCCGGUCCAGCCCACAGUCCACGAGGACACGAUCCCCGACCUCAUAUCAGGUUCCCCUCCCCAUCCCGGAGAGCAAAAGCGCUUCUCUCGCUAGCGAGUUCGGCAGUAGAAACCCUAAAAAAAGACACCGCCCUCCCCUUCGCUAGCGGAACCGCCCUCCCCUCGCCGGGGUAGGGGUUUCGGGGGUAGACGCCCGCCAUGGACGCGUUCCGGAAACAGCUGGACGUGCUCAUGGGCGCCAACCGCAACGGCGACGUCGAGGAGGUGAGCCGCAACUACUACGACCGCGACGUCUGCCGCCUCUUCCUCGCCGGUCUCUGCCCACACGACCUCUUUCAGCUCACGAAAAUGGAUCUCGGUCCUUGUUCUAAGAUUCACUCUCUUCAACUGCGGAAAGAUUAUGAAGAAGCGAAAGCAAAGGGAACAGAAAAUUUUGAUAGAGAACUCGAGGAUAUGAUAGAAAGGCUCAUUGUGGAGUGUGACAGGAAAAUUCAGAGGGCCCUAAAACGGCUUGCAGAUGAUGAUGCCAAUGCUGCUAUUGCGAUAUCGGUCUCUGAGGUUACUCUGACGGAUGACAUACUGCAGCUGUCAAAACAGAUAAAGGAGAAAAUGGCAGAAGUUGAUGCCUUUGAUUUUGAAGGGAGAACUGAUGACAAAAUAAAGGCCCAGGAAGUAGUGGAAGAGCUAAGAGCUAAAAGAGCUGAUAUGCAGGCUACCCUCUUGCUUGAUGCUUUUAACAAGGACAGAGCUUCAUUAACUCAGCCUGCUCCACCUCAAGUGGCAGCAGUUCCACCACCAGCUCCACCUGAUGCUCGUACUCAAGAAAUUAUCAACGAAAAGCUUAAGAAAGCUGAAGAGCUUGGUGAACAAGGCAUGGUUGAUGAAGCUCAAAAAGCUUUGGAAGAGGCAGAAGCUCUGAAAAAGCUGGCGCCACGUUCAGAGCCACCUUCAGACCCUUCGAAAUAUACUGCUGCUGAUGUUCGAAUUACUGAUCAAAAAUUACGCCUCUGUGACAUAUGUGGAGCAUUUCUGAGUGUAUAUGACAAUGAUCGACGUCUUGCUGACCAUUUUGGUGGGAAAUUACACCUAGGCUACAUGCUGAUUCGUGAGAAACAGAAAGAACUUCAGGUGCUGAAUGUAAUGUACCAUUUUCUGCUUUAAAGAGUUACUCUGUUUUGGCCCUUUUGGCAUAUGUGAGUUUUCUUAUCUCAAGAGCCUCAAGGUUCUCACCUUCCCUGUAUAUUAUUUGAUUUCUCACAUUGCCGGGCACUAUGGUUAUUACGAUAGUCAUUACAGGAAUUAGUCCAUGUUGCGUGAUUGGAAUCUCAUGCGAUCAUCUUCAUACCCAUGGAUACAACAGUCACUGUCUGUUGGCAAAUGUAAGCAUAGGAGGGUGCAGACCAUGGUAUGAAAAAAAACAUGUUUACUUAAUUGUGACGAACUGCUCAUGUGUCUGCUUAGUAUUAUGUUGGGCAGAAGCCGGAGGUUUCUUUUCUACUGCCUGAGCCAUAUUAUGUAGACCAGGUGAUAAAUAAUACUGGUUAAGUUAUCCUGAAAGCUUUGCCAACAUUUGCUGUAAGUGACAACUUGUUCUAUUUUUUAUCUGCUACCUCCAUAAGUUUGCAAGUUAAACUUUGCUGAAGCAGCCUUGCCUGUAAAGUAUGACUCCCCUUUCUCUUGGAACGUUGUCGCUGACUUCAUGUAUGGCAAAAUAUCAUCAUUUCUACUGUCAAUAAAUAAAAUACACUAUGCCACCUUGCAGGAGCAGAGAAAUAAAAGGAGACCGGGCAAAGCUGAAGAUGAUAGACGAUCAAGAGAGCACAGCAAGGAUCGCAACGGCCGGUCGUCCAGGGAUAGAGAACCAGAAAGGAGAGACAGGGUUGAGUCUCGAGAUGGUAGAAGAGAUUAUGAAAGGGAUCGUGAUAGACGUCAUGAUAGGGACAGGCGCCAUGACCGUGAUCGGGAUAGGGAUUAUGACCGCUCCCGUGGACAUGAUUCAAGGAGGAGAGAGCGUUCACGCUCCAGGGAGCGCAGCAGGCGCCACGAGAGAUACUAAAUGUUACACCAUGCCUGACAGAUUUAGGAGUACUGGCGGCGUCUGUUCAAGAUAUGGUUUGAGCUUGUGCUUCGUAUCUUCUGAAGACCGGUCUACUUGACGCUAAAUUCGCAUGGAGUGUUAAGCAUUUAUUAAACGCAUCUGGAAUCAAAUGAAGUUGUACUUGCGAACGGCUUCACUUAAAAUUCGCGCCAUUUCUAAUAUUGUAAUAAGCUGUGCUUGAACCUUAGCUGUCUCUGUGUACUCGACGUACCACUCGCUCCCACAAAUAGCUUCGAACAUCCUGUACCUGAAACAUGACGCUGUUUGGUGGAGGUGGAGCUGUAAGUGUUCUUUUGCACAAUUCAUUAUAAAAAUCCCAAAUCUGAGUACUAGGAAA